Molecule: ribosomal RNA, 542 nt
Filed under: uncultured fungus
Lineage: Eukaryota; Fungi
Description: eukaryotic LSU rRNA
Rfam family: 5.8S ribosomal RNA (bases 171-324)
Source: RNAcentral
UCGGUAGGUGAACCUGCGGAAGGAUCAUUACCUAGAGUUGUAGGCUUUGCAUGCUAUCUCUUACCCAUGUCUUUUAAGUACCUUACGUUUCCUGGGCGGGUCCGCCCGCCGAUUGGACAAUUUGAACCAUUUGCAGUUGCAAUCAGCGUCUGAAAAAACUUAAUAGUUACAACUUUCAACAACGGAUCUCUUGGUUCUGGCAUCGAUGAAGAACGCAGCGAAAUGCGAUAAGUAGUGUGAAUUGCAGAAUUCAGUGAAUCAUCGAAUCUUUGAACGCACAUUGCGCCCCUUGGUAUUCCAUGGGGCAUGCCUGUUCGAGCGUCAUUUGUACCUUCAAGCUCUGCUUGGUGUUGGGUGUUUGUCUCGCCUCUGCGUGUAGACGCGCCUCAAAACAAUUGGCAGCCGGCGUAUUGAUUUCGGAGCGCAGUACAUCUCGCGCUUGGCACUCAGAACGACGACGUCCAAAAGUACAUUUUUACACUCUGGACCUCGGAUCAGGUAGGGAUACCCGCGGAACUUAAGCAUAUCAAUAAGCGGAGGAA